CCUACGGGAGGCAGCAGUAAGGAAUAUUGGACAAUGGGCGCAAGCCUGAUCCAGCCAUGCCGCGUGAAGGAUUAAGGUCCUCUGGAUUGUAAACUUCUUUUAUAGGGGACGAAAAAAGGGCAUUCUUGCUCACUUGACGGUACCCUAUGAAUAAGCACCGGCUAACUCCGUGCCAGCAGCCGCGGUAAUACGGAGGGUGCAAGCGUUAUCCGGAUUCACUGGGUUUAAAGGGUGCGUAGGCGGGCAUGUAAGUCAGUGGUGAAAUCCUAGAGCUUAACUCUAGAACUGCCAUUGAUACUAUCUGUCUUGAAUAUUGUGGAGGUAAGCGGAAUAUGUCAUGUAGCGGUGAAAUGCUUAGAUAUGACAUAGAACACCUAUUGCGAAGGCAGCUUACUACGCAUAUAUUGACGCUGAGGCACGAAAGCGUGGGGAUCAAACAGGAUUAGAUACCCUGGUAGUCCACGCCCUAAACGAUGGAUACUCGACAUACGCGAUACACUGUGUGUGUCUGAGCGAAAGCAUUAAGUAUCCCACCUGGAAGUACGUCCGCAAGGAUGAAACUCAAAUGAAUUGAGGCUUGAGGAGNGCGAGACGACACGAGGGAGGAGG
RNAcentral lists this ribosomal RNA (609 nucleotides) under uncultured bacterium. RNAcentral describes it as "bacterial SSU rRNA". It matches the Rfam family "Bacterial small subunit ribosomal RNA", at positions 338 to 951 of the family's 1533-position model. The record is from RNAcentral.